Molecule: long non-coding RNA, 846 nt
Filed under: Physcomitrium patens
Lineage: Eukaryota; Viridiplantae; Streptophyta; Bryopsida; Funariales; Funariaceae
Description: long non-coding RNA (PPAT_LNC013572)
Source: RNAcentral
CUCAUUUUCGCCGGAAAGCAGCUCGAGGAUGGCCGCACCCUUGCUGACUACAAUAUCCAGAAGGAGUCCACUUUGCAUUUGGUGCUCCGCCUUCGAGGAGGUAUUAUUGAGCCUUCGUUGAUGGCUCUGGCUCGCAAGUACAAUCAGGAGAAGAUGAUAUGUCGGAAGUUAGUGCCCUCUUCUCUCUAUCUUUUUAUUUUGUGAAAUGGCUUCUAACUGCAUCUUGGAGCUUUUCUGCCCUAUGCACCCAAGCUUGGAGUGAGUGAUUUUCGUGGUGAUUGGGUAAUGGAAGCUUGUUAUACAUUCAGACUUGAAAGUUCUGGCUGCACUUUUAAACAUUGUCCGGAGUGUGAGUUGCCAUGUCGGAAGUUUUUGCUUAUUAUUGUUGAAUAUGAGGUUGAACGGUGGCUAUAUCACGGGACUUACUGUAGAGUAGCGACCUAGGUUUUCUUUGGUAGCUUACAGGCCCUGCAUGAUUUACGUCUAGCCUCGAGUUGAAACUCGUGUCUACCCGAUUGUUCAGGCCUAAGGCUGAUGUGCUCCCUCAAGGAUUUUUUUUCAUGGUAACGAGGCGUUUGAUGACAUUGCAUAUCUAACUGGUCUUACCGCAUGUGAAGGUGCUAUGCCCGCCUACACCCCCGAGCCGUCAAUUGCAGAAAGAAGAAGUGUGGACAUAGCAACCAGCUCCGCCCUAAGAAGAAGAUCAAGUAGAGUGGCGGCCUUCUGUAUUGGUGCAGUGUGUGCAAUGCAAGCUCAGGAAAUGUGAUAGAUCUUCACUGGUCUUUGAGCAGGUUUAAGCUACACGGAGACCAAUAUAGCUUGUUUACUGCCUUUGUAAUGCGUCAC